This 622-nucleotide long non-coding RNA is filed under the name Salmo salar (Atlantic salmon). RNAcentral describes it as "lncRNA (ENSSSAG00000112395.1)". Lineage: Eukaryota; Metazoa; Chordata; Actinopteri; Salmoniformes; Salmonidae. The record is from RNAcentral.
GGGGGCGGGGACGAUCAUCGCCGUGGCAACGCACGCCAUCCUGUCCGCGGACGCUCCCAGGAUCCUCCAGGAGUCAGUCAUUAGUCAGAGAGGAGAGGAGGAUGUGAAGUUAAAGAACAUGGGUUCUUGGCCCAGCGUUCUCAGUCCACCCCCGCCUCCGCUGUCCGCUCCUCUAGCGACAGCUUCGAACAGGUCCGUCGCGUCGCCCGAGAGAAGGAGAGAGAGAAACAGCUAAAAGCACAGGCCAGGAGAGAGCAGGAGAAACUACGUAGCCGUGACUACGAGGACUCUGUGGAGCAGCAGGGGAGGGGGCGUGUCCAGGAGGACACUCGCCGUCGCCAGGAGCAACUUUCGCCUCAACCCCUCCCGCCGACUCCCCACAGGCCCCUCCCACUCAACAGGCCACACCCUCGGCCGCAGCAGAACGCCAUGGACCAGCAGAGGGAGCUGGCGAGACGCCGCGAGCAGGAAAGGAGGAGGAGAGAGGUGGUAAUACUUUAUAGCAGUAAUACUACUAUAAUACUAACAUGUUAUACUAGUAUAGCAGGAGAGAGGUGGUAAUACUUUAUAGCAGUAAUACUACUAUAAUACUAACAUAAUAUACUGGUAUAGCAGGAGAGAG